UUAAAACAUAGGUUUCUUUUUUUUUAUUUCCCCGAUUCAUUCCUCCUUCGCCCGAAUCACCGCCGCCCUCUCCCUCUCACGACGACUCCUCCUCCCGAUUUCCCCAUCUCCUUCCCUGAUCGUCCUCUGCCCCCAUCGAGCAUCGGCGCUAGCACUCUUCACAGUCGCAACACCACCUCCUCUCCCUUCUCUCCGCGUCUCCUCCAACCACCACGAGCCGACGCUAGGUCACCGCCGCUUUGUUCCAUCUCCUUCUCCGAUCCUGUCGUCGUGCCCUAAAUCCACUGUCGGUCGUCGAAUCCAAGCGGAGCAGCAGCAAUUUGGUCAAGGAGGUUCAUCACUUCUUCCUCUCCACCAGAUCUUGAUUCCUUGUCUUCGUCAGCAUAGGUCUGCAGCCGAUCCUUUGAGAGGGAUGGACCAUCCAUCUCCUUCUCUGUUUUCCCGAUCCUCCCAUUCCACCGCCAGUUCCUUCUUCAUCCAUCUCUUCAGUCAUCUUCUGUUUACUCUCCAGUAAAGGGGAAGCGACCGACACCAAUUUAGUGUAGCUCCGACCACUAUUUUCCGACAGUAGCUACACCUAGCUCUGCCCAUAGGUUCUGGCAACAAAUUGCUCUAGCCAAGAGUUAACAGCGGAGCAUCCAGAUUUAGGACUUUGUUACGGGACAAGCGUCAUGACAUGGGAUUUAUUUGACACGCGCUAUAUUUGAGGCGGGUACCUUUGACUUAUCUCUUUUGAUAUUGUCAUUAUAAUAUGUGUAGUAAUUUAUAGCUAUUAGUAAUGGUUGUGUUUUUAGCCACCAUUGGUAUGUCACUACUUGAUACCUAUAGUAUGCCUUUGUUUGUUAUUAUCUGUUAUGCAUUUAGACUUAUAUUCUUUUGUUCUUACCAUGUGUACUUAUGAUCAUAUAAAUAGUGACAUACAUUGUCUUACUGUGUACAUGACUAGUUACUAGACAUACUUGACAUGUGUACCUAGUUUCAUGAUACUUAGAUCCUUGUUAGAUUUCUUUACCUUUUGAUAUAUAUUAUGAAGGUGUCAGAAUUUACAUGUUGUAGUGUCAUGCACCAUCUUGCAUGAUUGCAUGCUGAGUGAUUGUCGGUUCCAUUGUUGUUGAGCACAUCGUCAGUUACAUGAUCUACACACACAACCACUCAUGGGUUAGUGGUAAAUCAGGCAGGGUGUGUGCAAUUUUCUCUGUCAGGGCUCCGUUGGUUCGCUCAUGGGUAGCGAUGAUUGCAGCGUGUAGUGGGAAGAGAUCUCUCCCCUUGACCAUGAUACAAGGAGAUGAGAGCUUAGGCUCCCCCACUAUGUUUGGGGUAGGAGGAUAGGUAUACUUCGACAGCAUCCUGUCCACUUCGUCAUUCAGGAGUAGUGAUGGCAAAAUGCACAGUUGUCAUAGCUCU
Molecule: long non-coding RNA, 1404 nt
Organism: Zingiber officinale
Lineage: Eukaryota; Viridiplantae; Streptophyta; Magnoliopsida; Zingiberales; Zingiberaceae
Exons: 3
Source: RefSeq, a predicted model, not a curated record